Molecule: long non-coding RNA, 799 nt
Filed under: Sorghum bicolor (sorghum)
Lineage: Eukaryota; Viridiplantae; Streptophyta; Magnoliopsida; Poales; Poaceae
Description: long non-coding RNA (SBIC_LNC014482)
Source: RNAcentral
GAGAAGUCCAUAUGCACUACCCUCAGAGAAGGUACACCGCUAUUUUAUUGACCCUAACUAUAUUGUUGAAGAAUCUAAGCAGGUCAAAAAAUGAUGCAACUGCAACCAGCGGAGGGAAAUCAUCAAGGACGGAUGGGCAGACUAUGAAGGAGAAGUUGUAAGGUAAGACAUACAGUUUAAACAGAAUGAUCCUGAGGAGAACGAAGCACCGAGUCAGGUAUGGAAUGAGAAGAUACAUGAAGAGGAGGCACCGCUGGAAGUACCGACUCCGCCACCCAACGAAUCCCAGGACAAUUGAAGGAAACGGAGAGUCCCGUUCGGAGGACUUAAAAACACCGAACGCCUUGCCAAGAGGUAAACUUGGUAGUUAUCUUUUCCCUUUCAAUUAUUUAAAAUAGUUUGCUUAGUUAAUCACGUUCAUUCUAUCCUAAAAAGAAAAUAAAAAUGUUAAAACAAGUAAGCCCCAUGUGAGUAUACGAGUGACAUGAAACCCAUAAGUACAUUCACUGUGGUGGCAUAAAAAUAAAAUAAAUAUUUCUUUUCUGCUUUAUUAAAUAAAAAUAUAAAAACAGGGAGUAAUAUUUAUUGAGGAAGCUAAAUAUGAUAAAGGCUAGAUAUUUAUGCUAACACUUAAUCAGUUCCACAAAGCUUUGUUGUCUAUUUGAGCUCCACGGAAUUUAAGAAUUAAGAAGACUAGCAGACGGAGGAUAUUCUAAUCGCAGUCAGGAUACUGCUGACUUUCAAAUACACCUCUGCCACAUGCUAGCUACAUCAAAAGAAAUUACGUCAAAAUUCAGGU